RNAcentral lists this transfer RNA (71 nucleotides) under Caudoviricetes sp. Its description in RNAcentral is "tRNA-OTHER". Lineage: Duplodnaviria; Heunggongvirae; Uroviricota; Caudoviricetes. The record is from RNAcentral.
UAAAUGCCACGCCAUCUUGAGGGGGUGGUGAGCGUACGCUCGUGAGGGUUCAAGUCCCUCCAACCGCACCA